RNAcentral lists this ribosomal RNA (642 nucleotides) under uncultured bacterium. Its description in RNAcentral is "bacterial SSU rRNA". It matches the Rfam family "Bacterial small subunit ribosomal RNA", at positions 227 to 881 of the family's 1533-position model. The record is from RNAcentral.
CGGCCCGCGUCUGAUUAGCUAGUUGGUGGGGUAACGGCCUACCAAGGCGACGAUCAGUAGCUGGUCUGAGAGGAUGAUCAGCCACACUGGGACUGAGACACGGCCCAGACUCCUACGGGAGGCAGCAGUGGGGAAUAUUGGACAAUGGGCGCAAGCCUGAUCCAGCCAUGCCGCGUGAGUGAUGAAGGCCUUAGGGUUGUAAAGCUCUUUUAUCCGGGACGAUAAUGACGGUACCGGAGGAAUAAGCCCCGGCUAACUUCGUGCCACCAGCCGCGGUAAUACGAAGGGGGCUAGCGUUGCUCGGAAUCACUGGGCGUAAAGGGCGCGUAGGCGGCGUUUUAAGUCGGGGGUGAAAGCCUGUGGCUCAACCACAGAAUGGCCUUCGAUACUGGGACGCUUGAGUAUGGUAGAGGUUGGUGGAACUGCGAGUGUAGAGGUGAAAUUCGUAAAUAUUCGCAAGAACACCGGUGGCGAAGGCGGCCAACUGGACCAUUACUGACGCUGAGGCGCGAAAAGCGUGGGGGAGCAAAACAGGAUUAGAUACCCUGGUANUCCACGCCGUAAANCGAUGAAUGCCAGCCUGUUGGGGUGCUUGCACCGCAGUAGCGCAACCUAACGCUUUGAGCAUUCCGCCUGGGGAGU